This 375-nucleotide long non-coding RNA is filed under the name Cicer arietinum (chickpea). RNAcentral's name for it is "long non-coding RNA (CARI_LNC002387)". Lineage: Eukaryota; Viridiplantae; Streptophyta; Magnoliopsida; Fabales; Fabaceae. The record is from RNAcentral.
ACCAAGCGUCUCUUAUUGGACCUUAGCCCAAUUCAUCAAGACUAAGUGCCGAAUUUGCCCCCAGUCAAUCAUAGUCGUUCACUAGCAUCAGCAUAACCAUCUCCAUGUCACUCCUCCAUGAGGAACUAUUAUAUAAAGACCUUCAGAAAUAUGGUACCUAUUUAUUCAUUCAUUCAUUCAUUAUCUUUCACUUCCUUCGUCUCCUACUGACUUGGACAGAAUGUUUGCAGGUACCGCACACUGCCACCAGAAAACUGUCUCCGUCCGUCUCCAAGGAUCCUGAAUGGAUAAGCAACUACUGCAACAAAUUAAGAAGGAAUAUGCUCUUUGUUUAUCAUCGUUGACGGAAAUUUUAGUACCUACUACCCAUGUGCU